UUCGAGCGUCAUUUCACCAAUCGAGCCCCGCUCGGUGUUGGGCGACGCGGCCUCGGCCGCGCGCCCCAAUGUCUCCGGCUGAGCCGUCCCGUCUCGAAGCGUCGUGGCAACAUCCGCUUGCGAGCUCGGGGGGUUCGACGCCGUUAAACCUCUCACACCAGGUUGACCUCGGAUCAGGUAGGGAUACCCGCUGAACUUAA
RNAcentral lists this unclassified non-coding RNA (200 nucleotides) under soil metagenome. RNAcentral's name for it is "partial contains internal transcribed spacer 2 and large subunit ribosomal RNA". The record is from RNAcentral.